Molecule: ribosomal RNA, 468 nt
Filed under: uncultured bacterium
Lineage: Bacteria
Description: partial 16S ribosomal RNA
Rfam family: Bacterial small subunit ribosomal RNA
Source: RNAcentral
GACGAACGCUGGCGGCGUGCUUAACACAUGCAAGUCGAACGGAAAGGCCCUGCUUUUUGGGGGUGCUCGAGUGGCGAACGGGUGAUUAACACGUGAGUAACCUGCCCUGGACUUUGGGAUAACUUCAGGAAACUUGGGCUAAUACCGGAUAGGAGCUCCUGCUGCAUGGUGGGGGUUGGAAAGUUUCGGCGGUUGGGGAUGGACUCGCGGCUUAUCAGCUUGUUGGUGGGGUAGUGGCUUACCAAGGCUUUGACGGGUAGCCGGCCUGAGAGGGUGACCGGCCACAUUGGGACUGAGAUACGGCCCAGACUGCUACGGGAGGCAGCAGUGGGGAAUAUUGCACAAUGGGCGGAAGCCUGAUGCAGCAACGCCGCGUGCGGGAUGACGGCCUUCGGGUUGUAAAACGCUUUCGCCUGUGACGAAGCGUGAGUGACGGUAAUGGGUAAAGAAGCACCGGCUAACUACGUG